UCAAGCUAAUAAGAGCACAGGGUGGAUGCCCAGGCACCAAACGCCGACGAAAGACGUGGCAAGCUGCGAAAAGUCACGGGGAACCGCAAGCAGGUAUUGAUCCGUGAACGUCUGAAUGGGGAAACCCGGCGGGUUAACAGCCCGUCACUAUUAACUGAAUCAAUAGGUUAAUAGGGGGAACGCGGGGAACUGAAACAUCUCAGUACCCGUAGGAAGAGAAAAUAAAGAAUGAUUUCCUAAGUAGCGGCGAGCGAACGGGAAAGAGGCCAAACCGAAGGGCUUGCUCUUCGGGGUUGUGGAUCAGCAAAAAGGACGGAAGACCUUAGCAGAAGAGGAUUGGAAAGUCCCGCCAGAGAGGGUAAAAGCCCCUUACGCGAAAAGGUCAAACGACGAGCUGACACCAGAGUACCGCAGGACACGAGAAAUCCGGUGGGAAGCCGGGAGGACCACCUCCCAAGCCUAAAUACGAAUUGGUGACCGAUAGCGCAUAGUACCGUGAGGGAAAGGUGAAAAGAACCCCGGGAGGGGAGUGAAAAAGAACCUGAAACCCUGUGUUUACAAGCAGUGAAAGUGCGAGCAAGGCACGAUCACGUACUUUUUGUAGAACGGACCGGCGAGUUACGUUAUGCAGCAAGGUUAAGAACUGAAGGUUCGGAGCCGAAGCGAAAGCGAGUCUGAAUAGGGCGAUAGUUGCAUGACGUAGACCCGAAACCGGGUGACCUAUCCAUGAGCAGGUUGAAGUGGAGGUAAAGCUCCAUGGAGGACCGAACCAGACGUCUGUUGAAAAAGGCGGGGAUGACUUGUGGAUAGGGGAGAAAUUCCAAUCGAACCCGGAGAUAGCUGGUUCUCCUCGAAAUAGCUUUAGGGCUAGCCUCAUACGAGUCUUGCGGAGGUAGAGCACUGAAUUCUUAAGGGGGCGUCAAAGCUUACUAAGAGAUAUCAAACUCCGAAUGCCGCGUAGAUGAUGUAUGGGAGUCAGACUGCACGAGAUAAGUUGGGUAGUCAAAAGGGAAAGAGCCCAGACCUGCAGCUAAGGUCCCAAAGUGCGUGUUAAGUGGAAAAGGAUGUGGGAUUUCGAAGACAACCAGGAUGUUGGCUCAGAAGCAGCCACACAUUCAAAGAGUGCGUAAUAGCUCACUGGUCGAGAGGUCCUGCGCCGAAAAUGUCCGGGGCUGAAACACGACACCGAAGCUUAGGAACAAAGAAACCAAGGUUUCUAUAUGUUGGUAGAGGAGCAUUGUUAGCGGAACGAAGCCAUACCGGAAGGAGUGGUGGACUGCUAAGAAGAGAGAAUGCCGGAAUGAGUAGCGAGAAUGAAGUGAGAAUCUUCAUGGCCGAAUAUCCAAGGUUUCCAGGGUAAAGCUGAUCUGCCCUGGGUUAGUCGGGGCCUAAGGCGAGGCUGAGAAGCGUAGCUGAUGGACAACAGGUUGAAAUUCCUGUACUGCCUUAUAACAGAACUGUGGGGACACAUGUUCAGGUCGCGAGCCGGGAAAGGAAAGCCCGGUGCAAGCAGAGGUUAUCGGUGGGAGGCAAACCCCCCACAAAAGAGAAGACUGCGAUGCGGAGCGAAGAAAAGUAGCGAAGAGCGAUGAGAAUGUGUCGAGAAAAGCCGCUAUUGUUUAUAAGGUACCCGUACCGUAAACCGACACAGGUGGAUGAGGAGAGAAUCCUAAGGCCGGCGGGAGAAGCAUUGUUAAGGAACUCGGCAAAAUGACCCCGUAACUUCGGGAGAAGGGGUGCCUCGAAAGAGGCCGCAGAGAAUAGUCACAAGCGACUGUUUAGCAAAAACACAGGUAUCUGCGAAAGCGAGAGCUGACGUAUAGGUGCUGACACCUGCCCGGUGCUGGAAGGUUAAGGGAACAUGUUAGAGCAAUCGAAGCAUCGAACCGAAGCCCCAGUAAACGGCGGCCGUAACUAUAACGGUCCUAAGGUAGCGAAAUUCCUUGUCGGGUAAGUUCCGACCCGCACGAAUGGUGUAACGACUUGUGAGCUGUCUCAACAGGGGGCCCGGUGAAAUUGAAGUAUGGGUGAAGAUGCCCAUUACCCGCGACUGGACGGAAAGACCCCGUAGAGCUUUACUGCAGCCUGAUAUUGAGUUUCGGUAACUGAUGCACAGGAUAGGUGGGAGUCUGAGAGACAUGGGUUUCGGCUCAUGUGGAGACGGUGUUGGGAUACCACUCUUCGGUUACUGAAAUUCUAACAUAGCUCUGUGAAACCAGAGGAUGGACAGUGUCAGGUGGACAGUUUGACUGGGGCGGUCGCCUCCGAAAGAGUAACGGAGGCGCCCAAAGGUACCCUCAGAAUGGAUGGAAACCAUUCGAAGAGAGCAAAGUCAGAAGGGUGCUUGACUGCGAGACCAACAAGUCGAGCAGGUACGAAAGUAGGGCUUAGUGAUCCGGCGGUAAGAGAGUGGAAUUGCCGUCGCUCAACGGAUAAAAGCUACCUCGGGGAUAACAGGCUGAUCUCCCCCAAGAGUCCACAUCGACGGGGAGGUUUGGCAC
This 2501-nucleotide ribosomal RNA is filed under the name human gut metagenome. RNAcentral describes it as "bacterial LSU rRNA". It matches the Rfam family "Bacterial large subunit ribosomal RNA", at positions 3 to 2524 of the family's 2925-position model. The record is from RNAcentral.